Molecule: long non-coding RNA, 3524 nt
Filed under: Zea mays
Lineage: Eukaryota; Viridiplantae; Streptophyta; Magnoliopsida; Poales; Poaceae
Description: long non-coding RNA (ZMAY_LNC004008)
Source: RNAcentral
CCAGAUCCAAAUUGCGAAGAAGUUGUCGUCCCUGCACAUGGCGGUUCCCGGUGAGUCCUCUCCCCUCUCUUCCCUUCCCCAUCCUCUCUCCCCCUAGACGGACCCUCCCUGCAGCCCCGCGUCGCGUCGUUCUCCUUCCCGGCGAGCAGUCCUCUCUGUCCCCUGGCCGAGCAGUUCGUUUCCUCUCAGCGAGACCUCGCGUGGAUCCCUUUCCCUCCGUUGUGCGGCCAAGUCUGGCAGCCCCGCCCGGUGUCGUGGCCAGGAGGCCCUACGCGGCGGCUCGCCCCUACCGCGGCCUCCCCACCGGCCAGCGCGCAGCCUAGCUCCCCAAGCGCCCUUCUUCCCCCAGGUUGCGGCAAAGCUCGGCUCGCGAACCAGUCGCGGGCGCGACGAGGCCCAUGGCGCGGCUCUAGCCCGCCCAUGCCCCUCGGCUGGCUCACCCCUGGCCAUGGCUGCCCUCCCCCGCGCUAGAUCCUCGGUUGAGCGUGACCCCCGCGCAGGGCACGGCGCGGCGGUCGGCCAGCGUGGCGGCUCGCCCGCGUGCCAGGCGUCUGGUCCCUGCUCACCACGGGGAUGGGCGGCGGUGCCCAGCCCUCCUCUCUCCCCAUGCACAGCAGCUUGGCCAUUGCUGGCGUGCUGCUGCCAGCAGCCAAGCGCCUAAUCCCCUCUCUUCCCUGACCCCCAGCAGCCCUUGGUAGAAGCAUCGUGCUGCCCCAAUUUGCCUGCUAGUCUUCGAAUUGAAUGUACUGAUGCAGAACAAGCUUCAUGGUGCCAGAUAGAGAUCCUCGAUGCCCAACUUGAUUAGUCUUCUGAGAUCUUCCCCACGUAGAUCAAGCUGCUGAUUCCAUCUUGCCUUGAAUCAACCUUGUUUCCUUUGGAAUCAAUCUCUUGUCAAGCAGAAUCGGCUUGAUAAGAUUCAAAUCGAGCCUGCUGCUGUUGUAUCAAGGGUCUCUGUCCUAAUCUUGCUCGUCGGUGCCGGUGUCAGGUUCUCCCCUAGAUGAGCCCGCCCAGCGCCCCGGCGUGCAGACCUCAACGGCGCCCUCGCCCAGCCCCUCUCUCUCUCUCCUUCUGAUCCCUCUCUCUCCUUCUCUCCUGUCGGCAACCGGCUGCUUGGGCAGUUUCCUAGGCCACCAUGCCUUCUUUCCUCCCUGCGUGAAUGAGCUCAAUAGAGAUGAGAGGAAGGAGAUGCUAGCCACAUUUGAUCCCACUCACUUUGACCAGUUGUGGCUGAGAUCCAUGUGACCCUUCGUGUGGCUUCGCUUUGACCAAUAGAAUCGUGUCACUUAGUUUAAAUUCGAGAAAUGCUAUUUAUUCAAUAAAUUGCGUCGUAAACCCGUUACGACUCGUUCCAGUCGCGUUAAGUUCAUAACAACAUCAAUUUCGUAUUAGUCACAUUAUUUUGGUAUGUUGCAGGUCUUAACUAAUUAAUUAUUUGUUCAUUCGAUAGUGGUUAGAAAAUGACUCUUCAAUUAAAACUAAUUUAUAGUUCUAACUUGCGCUUUACAAAUACUCGUUAAUUUGAUUAAUGCCAACUCAAUUAAUUUACAUUAAUACUUGCUUAAUGUAUGCACGUUAUCUAUUUAGAUAUUUCUUGUAUGUCGCGCAUGCUGUUCCACGCGCGAUGGUGUGCUGGAUCGCGAGUGUUGUUUUGCGCGCGUCUCCGCACGCUGUUUUCGCGUGUCGCGCACAAUGUCGUGUGUCGUUCGCGUGUAUCGCACGUCGUGCGCGCAUAUUAGUUAAUCGUUUCAUUAUAAUCGUUCACUUAUAAUCACUCUGGUCAGUUAAUUAAUUAUUAGUUUAGUCGUCCACCAUUAAAACAAUAAUUUAGUCAAAACUAAAUUGUAGUUGUUAAUUUACAUUUGAUAAAUGUCAAUCAAUAUAAUUACGCCGAAUUAAAUAUUCUAAAUACUUGCUUAGUGUAAACGCGUUAACCCCUCGACCGUAGCUCUGACUUUCGCGUUUCUUUUCCUCGCGUAACCGUAGAAGCGCUCUCUAUUUUAUAUUGCUCGCUUUUAUAAUAUUUUAUCUUGUAUGGUGUCAUGCUCUUAUGCAAGUAUAUGUUUGCUUGUGCUUGUUUGUAUUCGUUGCGCGUCGUGAAUAGAUUGUGAUCCAUUUCUGAACUUGGAGGAAAUUGACGGUCAAGCUUCGGUGACCAAGAGAUCAAACUCUUCGAGUUCCACAAAGUUGAAGACCCUGAGCAUCUGUUUGGUGGAGGCAAGUGUCCCUUGACCUAUCUCUGUCCUAUACAUUCUUUAAUUCACCUCCCGCAUUUCACAGUUAUACCUAAGGAUUGACUAGCUUUUGUUAUCCAUGUCCUUGUUUACCUAUUUGGGUUGGAUUAUUAUUGUUUUGCUUUAUGCUAUUGCUCAACACUAAACAAUGAACAUGAUGAGAUUUAUCAAUGAUACGCUGUUUUCCCCUCCUUUAUUAUGAUGCUAUACUUGUGGUAUUCAAGGGGGCUCGAGCGAUUUCUCGAGUGCCUCUCCGUAAGGACCUGUUCGUUGGAUGACCGCUCGGGAAAACAGUGCAACCAUGAGGGUGGAAUGGGGUGCCCUUAGCUGAAUAAUUAGAUGAUCCGGGUGUAGUUUGCUUAGUCGUCGUGCCAUUAAUGGGGCUCGGUGUAUGCGGCUCGCUCUGCCAAGCUUGGGUUCGCCCCCCCUUGGGGAGGAGUGCGGUGCAUUUAGGAAACCUAACGGACGGCUACAGUCUCGGGGAAUCUUUGUAAAGGCUACAUAGUGAUGCCCUGCUAGGCCACCUAGGCAGUGGUCAAUGGGGAGUAACUCUCUUCGGGCAGAAAGGGAAUCACGGCUUGUGGGUAAAGUGCACAACCUCUGCAGAGUGUUUGAAAACUGAUAUAUCAGCCGUGCUCACAGUUAUGAGCGGCCAAGGGAGCUUCAGUGAUUAGUGAUAUUUGAUCAGAGAUGUUCGGAUUACAGGUGGCAACGGGAUUGAUGGUUUUUGGUAUUGACUCUGGUAAUGGUAAGUGGUACUCUUUUUGGAAAGGAGUAUGUUUGGGUUAAUAACGUGGGUUAACUCUAAAACUUGGCUUUCUCUACUAGUAAUAAUAAUCUGACCAACUAAAAGCAACUGCUUGACUUACCCCCACAUAAAGCUAGUCCACUACAGCCAAACAAGACACAUGCUGAGUAUGUUGAUGUGGUGGAUCUCCAGGAGUUCCAGGACGUCGACGAGUUCGAGGGUUAGGCUAGCGACCUCCCCCAGUCAGCUGCCUGUGGUGGGUUGUUUACGUUGGCUACGUUUCGACUCUGUGUACUUUGAUUUAUAUUAUGUAAAUGGCUCUAGUCUGUAAUAUUAUUACUUACUUUUUAUUGUAAUUUGAAGCAUUGUGCUAUGAUUAGUCAUUUAUAUAAUCGCUUUGUACGUGAAUUACUAAUCCUGGCACAUACAUGGUUCGCAUUCGGUUUACCUUCAAAACCGGGUGUGACAGUGGGUGAUCAGACGACUGUGAUUAGAUGAUACCUUGGGUCGUGGUAAUUUUACUUAUAAAACCUCGAAGGAGAUAC